RNAcentral lists this ribosomal RNA (252 nucleotides) under uncultured bacterium. Its description in RNAcentral is "partial 16S ribosomal RNA". It matches the Rfam family "Bacterial small subunit ribosomal RNA", at positions 524 to 776 of the family's 1533-position model. The record is from RNAcentral.
UACAGAGGGUGCGAGCGUUAAUCGGAAUUACUGGGCGUAAAGCGUGCGUAGACGGUAGCGUAAGUCAGAUGUGAAAGCCCCGGGCUCAACCUGGGAAUGGCAUUUGAGACUGCUCUGCUCGGGUGCGGAAGAGGGAAGCGGAAUUUCCGGUGUAGCGGUGAAAUGCGUAGAUAUCGGAAGGAACACCAGUGGCGAAAGCGGCUUCCUGGUCCGACACCGACGUUCAGGCACGAAAGCGUGGGAGCAAACAGG